RNAcentral lists this ribosomal RNA (774 nucleotides) under uncultured Neocallimastigales. RNAcentral's name for it is "partial large subunit ribosomal RNA". It matches the Rfam family "Eukaryotic large subunit ribosomal RNA", at positions 22 to 635 of the family's 3401-position model. Lineage: Eukaryota; Fungi; Neocallimastigomycota; Neocallimastigomycetes; Neocallimastigales. The record is from RNAcentral.
GUACACGCUGUGACUAGCAUAUCAAUAAGCGGAGGAAAAGAAACUAACAAGGAUUCCCCUAGUAACGGCGAGUGAAGCGGGAAGAGCUCAAAUUUGAAAUCUUAAAGGGUUUCCCUUUACGAAUUGUAGUUUAAAGAAGUGUUUUCUGUUGAGGUUUUGGUAAAAGUUCUUUGGAAUAGGACAUCAUAGAGGGUGAGAAUCCCGUAUUUGACCUUUACUUUCAACUUUGUGAUACACUUUCAAAGAGUUGGAUUGUUUGGGAAUGCAGUCCAAAAUGGGUGGUAAAUUUCAUCUAAAGCUAAAUAUUGGCGAGAGACCGAUAGCGAACAAGUACCGUGAGGGAAAGAUGAAAAGAACUUUGAAAAGAGAGUUAAACAGUACGUGAAAUUGUCAAAAGGGAAGCGUUUGACACCAGUGUUGUUUUUCUGAAAAUCAAUUAAAGAACUGUUUAUGCUAAGCUGUUUAGACUUUAUCAGCUAUCUGUUUAGUUUUGAGCUUUUCUUUAAUGCACUUUUCAGUUAACAAGUCAACAUCAAUUUCUUUUGCUGUAAAAAAGCUUGAGGAAGGUGGCUUGAGAUUCGUCUUAAGUGUUUAUAGCCUCUUGCCUAUGCAGUCGGAGAGAUUGAGGUCUGCAGCGUAGAUCCUUCGGGGCUAAAUGCAUUUGUGCUAAGUUAUAGCAUUUUAUAGACAACUUGUUGACUAUGAUUUGUCUUGUAGCUUACCCGCUUAUGUUAUUUUACCUACGCUUAGGAUGUUGAAGAUGUAGCACAUCAU